GAUAACAGCGCAAUAUAUAAUGAAAGCCCUUAUUAAAUUAUAUAUUUACGACCUCGAUGUCGGCUUAAUAAAGCUUUUUAAAGUAGAAUUUAAAAAUAGUUUAACUGUUCUUUAAUUAAAGUAUUACAUGAGCUGGGUUUAGAACGGAGCGAUUUAGUUC
RNAcentral lists this non-coding RNA (160 nucleotides) under Ophiophagus hannah (king cobra). RNAcentral describes it as "Bacterial large subunit ribosomal RNA". It matches the Rfam family "Bacterial large subunit ribosomal RNA", at positions 2473 to 2632 of the family's 2925-position model. Lineage: Eukaryota; Metazoa; Chordata; Lepidosauria; Squamata; Elapidae. The record is from Rfam by way of RNAcentral.